UGCGUAGGCGGCGCGGUAAGUCGGGUGUGAAAUCUCGGAGCUUAACUCCGAAACUGCAUUCGAUACUGCCGUGCUUGAGGACUGGAGAGGAGACUGGAAUUUACGGUGUAGCGGUGAAAUGCGUAGAUAUCGUAAGGAAGACCAGUGGCGAAGGCGGGUCUCUGGACAGUUCCUGACGCUGAGGCACGAAGGUCAGGGAGCAAACG
Molecule: ribosomal RNA, 206 nt
Filed under: uncultured bacterium
Lineage: Bacteria
Description: partial 16S ribosomal RNA
Rfam family: Bacterial small subunit ribosomal RNA
Source: RNAcentral